AUGAAGAACAUAUUUCAAACCUUGCUGGUGUCUGGUACAUAAUUUGAGAAACGCAAACUGUGUGGGAGGCCAUUUUCUAAGCAUGUUGCGGAGCUCAAGAAGCUGUCAGACGCCUGAUGGGUUUGGUGUGAGAGAGCACUGAAGACUCCUCAGAGUAUUCUGAAAGCUGUUUGGAAGAUCCUUGAUGACAUCAAUGAAAGCAAUCCACCUAAGAUGGCCCAAGGGGAUGCAAAGAUGUAUAGAAAUGUAAUCAACUUCAUAUUUAUUCUCUGAUUGGAAAUGACCAUCCCAGUCUUCCACAUCACUGUUCUAGCAUUAGAUUCUUUGCAGGAAGAAAGCUUGGACCAUCCACUACCUACCAGGAAGACAUCCAGAUAAACCAUAGCGAGGUCAUCAGAAUCUUCCAAGAUAAGGCACAGAGGAGGAUGCUCCGGUAAUGCAGGAGAACGAUCUUACUCCCUUCACCAGAUGGUCUGCCUGUUAUCUGUCUGUCCUCCUGUGCUCUCAACCUUGAUGAUUUUCGUUGUGUUCUAGGGUCUCUCUCUCCCUCCCUCCCUCCUGGGCCCAUCUCUCUCUUUCCUGGGCUCAGCAUUGAGCAUAAUACCCAUUUAAAAAUAUAGUUAUUGCUUGUCUCUUCUCCUUUGUUGCAUUCAGUCUCUCUCACUGUGCUUCACACCACAGACAUGUCUCUCUUGCAUUUUGCUAUGUCUAGUGUCUGUUCAUUUUCUUCUGUCUCCCUUGGGGUCCCUCAUUUCAACUUUCCCCCCAG
Long non-coding RNA from Brienomyrus brachyistius, 769 nucleotides. RefSeq lists it as uncharacterized. The transcript has 3 exons. NCBI's taxonomy places the organism in Eukaryota, Metazoa, Chordata, Actinopteri, Osteoglossiformes, Mormyridae. The record is from RefSeq and is a predicted model, not a curated record.